UAGCUUAGAGGUUAAAGUGUCUGCCUGCAAUGCAGGAGACCUGGGUUCUAUCCCCGG
This 57-nucleotide transfer RNA is filed under the name Ovis aries (sheep). It matches the Rfam family "tRNA", at positions 8 to 63 of the family's 71-position model. Rfam says of the family: Transfer RNA (tRNA) molecules are approximately 80 nucleotides in length. The record is from Rfam by way of RNAcentral. Lineage: Eukaryota; Metazoa; Chordata; Mammalia; Artiodactyla; Bovidae.